CUCAUAUGAUUGUGCCAUGUGUC
RNAcentral lists this non-coding RNA (23 nucleotides) under Arabidopsis thaliana (thale cress). The record is from RNAcentral. Lineage: Eukaryota; Viridiplantae; Streptophyta; Magnoliopsida; Brassicales; Brassicaceae.